UACGGAGGGUGCAAACGUUGCUCGGAAUCAUUGGGCGUAAAGCGCGCGUAGGCGGUCCGGUCAGUCGGGUGUGAAAGCCCUCGGCUUAACUGAGGAAGUGCAUCCGAAACUGCCGGGCUAGAGUACCGGAGAGGGCGACGGAAUUCCCGGUGUAGAGGUGAAAUUCGUAGAUAUCGGGAGGAACACCAGCGGCGAAGGCGGUCGCCUGGACGGAUACUGACGCUGAGGCGCGAAAGCGUGGGGAG
This 245-nucleotide ribosomal RNA is filed under the name uncultured bacterium. Its description in RNAcentral is "partial 16S ribosomal RNA". It matches the Rfam family "Bacterial small subunit ribosomal RNA", at positions 524 to 768 of the family's 1533-position model. The record is from RNAcentral.